GUUGUGAUGGCUGAGUGGUUAAAGCACUGGACUUAAAAUCCAAUAGGGUCUCCCUGCGCAGGUUCUAAUCCUGCUCACAGCA
This is a non-coding RNA of Thalassophryne amazonica, 82 nucleotides long. The record is from the annotation of a RefSeq genome assembly. NCBI's taxonomy places the organism in Eukaryota, Metazoa, Chordata, Actinopteri, Batrachoidiformes, Batrachoididae.